RNAcentral lists this small nucleolar RNA (83 nucleotides) under Sphenodon punctatus (tuatara). RNAcentral describes it as "Small nucleolar RNA U2-19 (ENSSPUG00000015801.1)". It matches the Rfam family "Small nucleolar RNA U2-19". Rfam says of the family: U2-19 is a member of the C/D class of snoRNA which contain the C (UGAUGA) and D (CUGA) box motifs. The record is from Rfam by way of RNAcentral. Lineage: Eukaryota; Metazoa; Chordata; Lepidosauria; Sphenodontia; Sphenodontidae.
GAUCUGUGAUGAGAAAUAGCCAAAUCUGAGCACCAAAAGAUCAGCUGGUCUGUAUGGUGCAUGAUCUGUACACAGUUCUGGGA